Molecule: ribosomal RNA, 466 nt
Filed under: Vreelandella stevensii
Lineage: Bacteria; Pseudomonadati; Pseudomonadota; Gammaproteobacteria; Oceanospirillales; Halomonadaceae
Description: partial 16S ribosomal RNA
Rfam family: Bacterial small subunit ribosomal RNA
Source: RNAcentral
CCUACGGGGGGCUGCAGUGGGGAAUAUUGGACAAUGGGCGAAAGCCUGAUCCAGCCAUGCCGCGUGUGUGAAGAAGGCCUUCGGGUUGUAAAGCACUUUCAGUGGGGAAGAAAGCCUUGGGGCUAAUACCCUCGAGGAAGGACAUCACCCACAGAAGAAGCACCGGCUAACUCCGUGCCAGCAGCCGCGGUAAUACGGAGGGUGCGAGCGUUAAUCGGAAUUACUGGGCGUAAAGCGCGCGUAGGCGGUCUGAUAAGCCGGUUUGUGAAAGCCCCGGGCUCAACCUGGGAACGGCAUCCGGAACUGUCAGGCUAGAGUGCAGGAGAGGAAGGUAGAAUUCCCGGUGUAGCGGUGAAAUGCGUAGAGAUCGGGAGGAAUACCAGUGGCGAAGGCGGCCUUCUGGACUGACACUGACGCUGAGGUGCGAAAGCGUGGGUAGCAAACAGGAUUAGAUACCCGUGUAGUC